This 373-nucleotide long non-coding RNA is filed under the name Vulpes vulpes (red fox). Its description in RNAcentral is "lncRNA (ENSVVUG00000022963.1)". Lineage: Eukaryota; Metazoa; Chordata; Mammalia; Carnivora; Canidae. The record is from RNAcentral.
AUUUUUAAAAAUCUAUGUCCAUAUUUUCUUGAACAAUCCAAAAAAUCACUUGAAAGCUUAUUUUUUUUAAAUCUUUGUCUAAAGAUGUCUUCUGCACUGGGGUCUUCAUUCUCCAUUCAACAGGGAAGUUAACACCCAAGGAACAACUCUGAACCUAUACUUCUCCCUUCCUAUGGAGUGCCUUCAGCUCACCUCCUCAAUGAACCACUUUCAACGAAAUCCUUUUCUCACCAUCUGCUUUGUGGGAACAUAAAACUAAGAGCUAAAAAAGAUUCUUCCCAUGAAAGAGACAAAAUACUAAAUGUGACAAGAUCAACAUUAAUUCAAUAAUUCAACAAAAAUUUACUGAAUAUCCACUAUGUACCAGUUCUUG